CAAGUCGAACGAGAAAGUCCCCUUCGGGGGAUAAGUAAAGUGGCGCACGGGUGAGUAACACGUAGGUAAUCUACCUUCGGGUGGGGAAUAACCCAGGGAAACUUGGGCUAACACCGCAUAAUGCAGCGGCACCACAUGGUGACAGUUGUUAAAGCGGGGGAUUUUAGGACCUCGCGCCUGAAGAGGAGCCUGCGGCGGAUUAGCUAGUUGGUAAGGUAACGGCUUACCAAGGCGACGAUCCGUAGCCGGCCUGAGAGGGCGGUCGGCCACACUGACACUGACAUACGGGUCAGACUCCUACGGGAGGCAGCAGUCGGGAAUUUUGGGCAAUGGGCGAAAGCCUGACCCAGCAACGCCGCGUGAAGGAUGAAAUCCCUCGGGAUGUAAACUUCGCAAGAAUGGGAAGAAUUAGUAGGGGCUAAUACCCCCUAUGAUGACGGUACCAUUUGUAAGCUCCGGCUAACUCCGUGCCAGCAGCCGCGGUAAUACGGGGGGAGCAAGCGUUGUUCGGAUUUACUGGGCGUAAAGGGCGCGUAGGCGGUCAGCACAAGUCAGUUGUGAAAUCUCCGGGCUUAACUCGGAAAGGUCAACUGAUACUGUGCGACUAGAGUGCGGAAGGGGCAACUGGAAUUCUCGGUGUAGCGGUGAAAUGCGUAGAUAUCGAGAGGAACACCUGCGGCGAAGGCGGGUUGCUGGGCCGACACUGACGCUGAUGCGCGAAAGCCAGGGGAGCGAACGGGAUUAGAUACCCCGGUAGUCCUGGCCUUAAACGAUGGAUGCUUGGUGUCUGGGGUUUUAUAGUCCCCGGGUGCCGUAGCUAACGCGUUAAGCAUCCCCGCCUGGGGAGUACGGUCGCAAGACUGAAACUCAAAGGAAUUGACGGGGACCCGCACAAGCGGUGGAGCAUGUGGUUCA
This 915-nucleotide ribosomal RNA is filed under the name uncultured Bacillota bacterium. RNAcentral's name for it is "bacterial SSU rRNA". It matches the Rfam family "Bacterial small subunit ribosomal RNA", at positions 58 to 948 of the family's 1533-position model. Lineage: Bacteria; Bacillati; Bacillota. The record is from RNAcentral.